RNAcentral lists this unclassified non-coding RNA (1466 nucleotides) under Hevea brasiliensis (rubber tree). Lineage: Eukaryota; Viridiplantae; Streptophyta; Magnoliopsida; Malpighiales; Euphorbiaceae. The record is from RNAcentral.
AAAAAACUCUCAUCUAAUAUCACUCAGCUGCCCGUGCCUGUUCUCCCAAAUACCCAAAUAGCUUUCUUUUCUCUCUAGAACAAAUCUCCUCAAUUCGGUGGAUUGAAGCACGAGUGAGAUCUGCUCUUAAGGUUUGCUAUUUAAUUUGAUGGUUAUUUUGUUUCUUUGCUUCUGGGUCUUUCACGCUAGUUGGUUGUCUUUGAUGCUUAGGGUUUCUUUCAGUCUCGAUUUCUUCCUGGAGAGUCGACCAGAGACUUUACUUUACGGAUUCUUCUUGGCAUUUUUACCUCUAUUUUCAAGUCAAGCUCCUGUCUUAUUUGAAUUGAUAGAGAACAGGGGUAGAUGAAUAGAUGGAUUGACUGAGGAAAACAGUCAGUUAAUUAGAGGAUUUUUGUUGCCUUGGUGGCAAUGAUUUACACUGCAAUUGAUAACUUCUACCAAACUGACGAGCAGUUACAGAACUCACCAUCUAGGAAAGAUGGAAUUGAUGAAGCCACUGAAACUACCCUCAGAAUCUAUGGAUGUGAUCUGAUCCAAGAGAGCGGAAUUUUACUCAAACUACCUCAAGCUGUGAUGGCCACUGGUCAAGUUCUAUUCCAUCGUUUCUAUUGCAAGAAGUCAUUUGCCCGAUUUGAUGUCAAGAAAGUUGCGGCUAGUUGUGUGUGGCUUGCAUCUAAACUAGAGGAAAGCCCUCGGAAGUCGAGGCAAGUCAUUAUUGUUUUUCAUAGAAUGGAAUGCAGGAGAGAGAAUUUACCUAUAGAAUUUUUGGACCUAAAUUCAAAGAAAUUUGCAGAGUUGAAGGUAGAACUGAGCAGAACAGAAAGACACAUAUUAAAAGAGAUGGGUUUUGUUUGUCAUGUUGAGCAUCCCCACAAAUUCAUUUCAAACUACCUUGCCACCCUCGAAACACCUCCAGAAUUGAGACAAGAAGCUUGGAAUCUUACAAAUGAUAGUUUGCGUACAACCUUGUGUGUUCGUUUCAAGAGUGAGGUUGUGGCUUGUGGGGUUGUAUAUGCUGCUGUGCGUAGGUUCCAGGUACCCCUUCCUGAGAAUCCACCAUGGUGGAAGGCAUUUGAUGCGGAUAAAUCUGGGAUUGAUGAAGUUUGUAGAGUUCUGGCUCACUUGUACAGCCUUCCCAAGGCAAAGUACAUAUCAGUCUGCAAGGAUGGAGAUUUUUCUUUUUCUAGCAAGUCCUCAGAUUCACAACUGCAAUCAGUUCCAAAGGAAGUUCUGCAGGGUGGCUCACCAGCUAAUGAUGUUGUUGCUCCUAAGGCAGCCUCAACUGUUGUUAGUGUUGAAUCUGGCGGUUCAAAGGGUGCAAUAAAAGCAGCUCUAGACAAGCUGAAGGAAUCUAAGAAGAGUGAUGAUGAGUCCAAGUCUGCAAAUGGGGAGGCAAGAGAUGAGCCCAUUCCAAGGUCCAAGUCUGAGCACAGAGCAGAGGCAAGUGGGGACCGGAGCAAGGACAG